UGAGGAAUAUUGGGCAAUGGACGCAAGUCUGACCCAGCCAUGCCGCGUGCAGGAUGAAGGCUCUAGUAGUUGUAAACUGCUUUUCUACGGGAAUAAAAGGCUUUACGUGUAGGGUCCUGAAGGUACUGUAGGAAUAAGCAUCGGCUAACUCCGUGCCAGCAGCCGCGGUAAUACGGAGGAUGCAGGCGUUAUCCGGAUUUAUUAGGUUUAAAGGGUGCGUAGGCGGACCUAUAAGUCAGUGGUGAAAUGCUACAGCUUAACUGUAGAACUGCCAUUGAAACUGUAGGUCUUGAAUACAAUUGAGGUGGGCGGAAUGUGUAAUGUAGCGGUGAAAUGCUUAGAUAUUACACAGAACUCCAAUUGCGAAGGCAGCUCACUAAGUUGUUAUUGACGCUGAGGCACGAAAGCGUGGGGAGCAAACAGG
This 424-nucleotide ribosomal RNA is filed under the name uncultured bacterium. Its description in RNAcentral is "bacterial SSU rRNA". It matches the Rfam family "Bacterial small subunit ribosomal RNA", at positions 355 to 776 of the family's 1533-position model. The record is from RNAcentral.